UUGGGGUUGCUAUAGAUUUUUGAGAAGGAUCACCAGCUCCACAAGAAGAUGGUGAAUGUAGUGGGAGAAUCUUCUUCGGAUAGUCGUCAUCCCUUUAAGAAAGGAAAGAAAAAGAAGAAUAAGAAGGUGCAAAGUGCUGGGAGUCAGACCCAAAAGUCCAAGUUCAAGGCCGACUAAAGUCGGACAGAGUGCUUCUAUUGCAGG
This 204-nucleotide long non-coding RNA is filed under the name Elaeis guineensis (African oil palm). RNAcentral describes it as "long non-coding RNA (EGUI_LNC080996)". The record is from RNAcentral. Lineage: Eukaryota; Viridiplantae; Streptophyta; Magnoliopsida; Arecales; Arecaceae.